RNAcentral lists this long non-coding RNA (4572 nucleotides) under Sus scrofa (pig). RNAcentral describes it as "lncRNA (ENSSSCG00030018011.1)". Lineage: Eukaryota; Metazoa; Chordata; Mammalia; Artiodactyla; Suidae. The record is from RNAcentral.
AAUAGUACCUCAUGCAUGUGAGCUGGUAUUUUCUGUGACAGAGUUGCACUAACAGUAUGUAGGUUGUUGGAUUACAGGCUGGUACAGAUGCAGAAAGAUGUUACCGGAAUCCAGGUUCUUGUUCACGCAAAGAAGGGUUUCCUUUAAUAAAGACUUCGUGAACACACAGGCAGCAGGCAAACAGAGUUCGAAGUCUUUAUUAAAGGAAAGCAAAUAGCUCCCAGGGCUGCUGGGACGGGAGAGAAGAGCCCCUUUCUCUAUUGUCCUGUAGGGGUUUUUAUCCCAUAAAGAUGGGGAGGGUACCAAUGUGGGGUCUAGAAAGCUGUGGUUUUCUCCCGUGGGCCUUGCCCAGUAGGGGUCUUUGGGGACCUUUCCAUCCCUAAGUUUUGCGAUUUGUCCUUCUCUUUCCUUAGACUGAGUCACCCUUCCUCUCAUUCCUUUUCUGUUGGUUGAGGAGUGGGUUAGAGAUUAGGGUCCAUGUGGGAGAAAGCCCACUUCCCAGAGUGAACAAGGCCUGUGGGGAACCGCUCUCCCUGAGCCCUUAAACGACGAACGUUAACCAAUCGCGGUACCAAAGAAUGCCCACGCUCCUGCGCGGACUACCCGGGUCAGGACUCUGCCUCGGUACCACUGUUAUCUCAAAUUUUUCUUCAGGAGAGGACCCAGCCUCGGCACCAGCUGGGAAGUGGCCAGGUGUAGCUGGGGACAAAGCCUCAGGAGUCACUGAGGCUCUGUCCCCAGCUAUCCCCUGUUUUCCCAGGACUCUACUGGCCCCUCAGGGGGCCCCUCCCUUUCACCAAGAGGCCUAUUCAAAGGCCACCCUUUCAGGUUCGUCUUAGUGGCCUAGGAAAGGCUGUUUUGACCUCUUCCUUGAUUUCCUGUGUCCUUUCAUUUGGAAAGUGAGGUUUAGGAGACAAGAAUUAAAAGACAAUGGUUUUGCUGUUUUAAAGGACCUUCCUUUGCGAGUGGGGGGUGCAAUCUCCGCCAUUUCCUGCAAUCACACACCAGAUGGCAGUGUUCAGUUAGUCAAAAGAAAAAUCCUAGCCUAGGACUUGCUGUCUAAGAUAAAAGCGUUAGCUAAUUCUAAACGGCUCUCCGGUCGGCCCUUCAGAGCUUCUUGAAGGCACAGUCAGUGGCGCUACUAUAUUCUGAACGUAGUAGCAACCCUGAGAGCUACAGAAGUGAGGAUUAAGUUCAUGGGAGUGACCAGGAGGCCCAUCCAGGGUCUGUUCAAUUGCAAAGUCAUGGUCAAGGAGCGCCCGUCGCAGCUUGGCGGUUAACAAACCUGACUGCAACCCAUGAGGUUGCAGGUUCGAUUCCUGGCCUCGCUCAGUGGGUUAAGGGUCUGGCGUUGCCAUGAGCUGUGGUGUAGAUCACAGACGUGGCUCGGAUCCCGAGUUGCUGUGGCUCUGGCGUAGGCCGGAGGCUACAGCUCGGCUUGGACUCCUAGCCUGGAAACCUCCAUAUGCCAUAGAUGUGGCCCUAAAAAGACCAAAAAACAAAAAAACAAAUACGCAAAGUCAUGGUCUAUAAGUGGCUGGCCUAAGACCGACCAUAACCCAGGUCUUCCGGCUCCUACUGCGACCUUCACUUGUCUGAAGUUGUUAACUGGAAAACUGGAUUCUCCUCUUGGUGGGCAUCCAGCCAAAAGACACAAUAAGCCCCCCAAAAGACACAACCAGCCAAGCCCAAGACGGGGGAAGGAAGGAUUCACUACUCGCAGCAAGUAAGGAAAACACCGAGGGGCUUUCCCAACUUUGCUCUUGGGGACCCAUGACUUUGGGAAAGUUUUAAGCUGGCUGCACAUGCAUCUUCAUGAAAGGGCUCGAGCAGAGAAGAAUUCAGCAUAGAGUUGGGGCAAGGAUCAACUGAGUCCCAGCUUUGGUCGACGGCGUCGCGAGGGUCAGCAAAGGUCAACCUCAUCAUCCAGGAGGUUUCCGCUGAUCUGGUGGCUGAGCGCUGGGAGGCGAUGAGGGCAGGGGUGGAAGGAGGGAGGGGUGAGUUACAUUCUGAAGAAGAGCCUCAAAAGUGCUUUCAGGAUAACCUUAACCUUCAAAACAGAACCGGGACUCUUUUUCUUCCAUAUGCUGCAGGUACAGCCAUAAGAAGAAUCACAGCUGCAGCUGCAGGCCUACACCCCAGCCAGGCAACACCAGAUCCAAGCCACAUCUGCCACCUACACUGCGGUUGCAGCAAUGCCUGCCAGAUCUUUAACCCACUGGUGAGGCCAGGGAGGGAACCUGCAUCCUCAUGGAGACCAUGUCAGGUCCUCAUCCUGCUAGGCCACAGCAGGAACUCCUAGAACUAGGAGGCUUUACAAGUGGUAUAGCAUCUUUGCUAUUGCUUGCUCCCUUAAGAUCUCAUUACUUAAUGAAUUUUAUUACAAUUACAUUUGUAUAACGAUCGUCACAGCCAAAUUGUCCUUAAGAUGGAUCUUUAAGCCUGGCCACAAUGCCUCCAACAGGUCUCAGUAACAGAGGACAAAACGGCUUAGGCCUAAAGUGACUUAUGUCAGAAAGUUAUACCUGGUCUUUCUUUGGGGACUCCCCAUCCCCACAUGCUUACAAACUGAGUAGUAAAGACAGCCUUUUCUUUCAGUCUUCCUCUCAGACCUGAAAGUCUGGCCCAUGAGCCCACCCUCCCGCCCGGCCCUCCCCUCCUCCACCACCACCCUGAGUUGUUCAAGUAUCUCAAAGCACCUGUUCUGAAGGCAGUCUGGUUUUGCUGGGCUUUUCCCCUCUCUUGAUGCCCAGCUACUGUCACCAGAGACAAGACCAGAAACAAGUCAAGUCCUGUGAUGCUAGUUAUUUUCGAGAGUGUUAGGUCUCCUGUUAUGAAACAGACUCCAUUCUAUCUAUUGGUCUUAGUAGUUUGGGGUUUUUUUUUUUUUUCAUUUUUAAAAAAAUUUUUUUACAGCUGCACCUGAGGCAUAUGGAAAUUUCCAGGCCAGAAGUUGAAUCAAUCAGAGCUGCAGCUGCCAACCUACACCACUGCCAGGCCAGGUCCGAGUGCAUCUGAGACCUACACAACUCAUGGCAACACUGGAUCCUUAACCCACUGAGCGAAACCAGGGAUGGAACGUGAGUCCUCACAGAGACCAGCUGGGUUCUCAAGCUGCUGAGCCGCAAUGGGAACUGCCCCCCGCCCCUUUUGGCAUUUGAAACUGUUCCUCUGGGAGUUACAAUAUCCAUCCUUGACUUUCCACACUCUACAAGGUUUUUACAUAUUUUGUGAAGUGGUACAAUAUUGAUGCUACAUAUAUAUGUUCAUUUAUCUGUCACCAUCCUUUUCCAUAUCAAUCAUAUAUAAAUAUGCAUUAGAAACUUCCUGAGAAAAUGAGUUUCUCUAAAAUCAUACACCCAUAAAGCAAAAAUUAGAAGAAAAAAGUAACCUUAAAUAUUUAUUUAAAUAUUCACCAUUUCCGAUGAUUUGAUUUAUUCCUCCCUCCCGGAAGAGUCAAAUUCUCCUCCAUGUUUGUUUCUCUUCAACCUAAAGAAUUCGCCUUAGCAUUCAUUUCCUAUAGAGUGGUGGUAGGAAAAUGCUGACGAAGUUUCUUUCAUCUACAAAUGCCUUAUUUCAUGUUCAUCCUUGAGGAAUAAUUCUGCUCAAUACAGAAUUCUAGGUGGAUAGUUGUUUAAGUACUUUUAGACAUUAUUUCCUUAUCUUUUGCUUUCUAUAGUUUGAAUGCAUGAAAACCAUGGCUAGGUAUAUCCUAGGCGACUGAUCCCCACAGAUAAAAAGAAUUUUGUAAACACACAGAGAGAAACGUAUAAUACACAUGGGGAACAAUGAUGCAAAUUGUCACCAAUUUCUCAUUUUAGUUCGGGUUUUCUGAACUUCUUAGACCUGCAUGUUAAUGUUUUAGCCCAAAUUGAAAGUGUUGACUGUGCAAAUUGCUCUCUUUGUGGGGCCACUUCAAGGGAACCAACAUGCAGGUAAUUGCCUCCCUCUAAAGGUAUCUGUAAUCCUAAAAGCAAGUUCCUAAGGCGCUUCAAUACUCUUCACAUUCUAAAACUUUGAUUGCUCUUUCUUAGUCCCACUUAUUCACUCUAGCUGCUCAUACGGGGUUUUCCUUUUCUCUGGAGGCUUUCAAUGGACUUGGGGUCAAGGGGUCAGGAUUUUUUUUUCUUUUUUUACUUCGAACCAAGUUCAUUAUUCUGUGGACAAUAGCCAUUUCCACAGACCUCCUUAGUGACUAAUCUCAGAAAAAGACCAAACUAAACCAACCAAAACAAAUGCUCCCCUCUCCACCACGUAGAGAAGGGAGCAAUCUGGAUUCAAAAAAACCUAGCAGGAGUUCCCAUCAUGGCUCAGGGAGUUAAGAAUCUGGCUAGAGAGUUCCCAUUGUGGCACAGCAGAAAUGAAUCUGACUAGUGUCCACGAGGAUGCAGGUUCAAUCCCUGGCCUCAGGGGGAUUAAGAAUCCAGGGUUGCCGUGAGGUGUGGUGUAGGUCGUAGACACGGCUUAGAUUCCACGCUGCUGUGCCCAAAAGCUCUGAUUCGACCCCUCAUCUGGGAACUUCCAUGUGCUGCAGGUGUGGCCCUAAACAGCCAAAAAAAAAAAAAAAAAAAA